CGCGGGGUGGAGCAGCUCGGUAGCUCGCUGGGCUCAUAACCCAGAGGUGCAGGUUCGAAUCCUGUCCCCGCUACCA
RNAcentral lists this transfer RNA (76 nucleotides) under Mycobacterium tuberculosis. RNAcentral describes it as "tRNA-fMet (CAT) (tRNA-fMet-CAT-1-1)". It matches the Rfam family "tRNA". Rfam says of the family: Transfer RNA (tRNA) molecules are approximately 80 nucleotides in length. Their secondary structure includes four short double-helical elements and three loops (D, anti-codon, and T loops). Lineage: Bacteria; Bacillati; Actinomycetota; Actinomycetes; Mycobacteriales; Mycobacteriaceae. The record is from RNAcentral.